Molecule: ribosomal RNA, 404 nt
Filed under: uncultured bacterium
Lineage: Bacteria
Description: bacterial SSU rRNA
Rfam family: Bacterial small subunit ribosomal RNA
Source: RNAcentral
AUCCCUUGACAUCCUGCGAACUUUCUAGAGAUAGAUUGGUGCCUUCGGGAACGCAGUGACAGGUGCUGCAUGGCUGUCGUCAGCUCGUGUCGUGAGAUGUUGGGUUAAGUCCCGCAACGAGCGCAACCCUUAUCAUUAGUUGCUAACAUUUAGUUGAGAACUCUAAUGAGACUGCCGGUGAUAAACCGGAGGAAGGCGGGGACGACGUCAAGUCAUCAUGGCCCUUAUGGGAUGGGCUACACACGUGCUACAAUGGGGGGUACAAAGAGCAGCCAACUGGCGACAGUGCGCGAAUCUCAUAAAACCUCUCGUAGUCCGGAUCGGAGUCUGCAACUCGACUCCGUGAAGUCGGAAUCGCUAGUAAUCGUGAAUCAGAAUGUCACGGUGAAUACGUUCCCGGGCCU